UGCCAGCCGCCGCGGUAAUACGUAGGGUGCGAGCGUUGUUCGGAAUUACUGGGCGUAAAGGGUGUGUAGGCGGAAAGGUCAGCUAGAGGUGAAAUCCCGGGGCUCAACCCCGGAGGUGCUUCUGGAACUGCCUUUCUAGAGAGGGUCAGGGGCCAGCGGAAUUCCUGGUGUAGAGGUGAAAUUCGUAGAUAUCAGGAGGAACACCGGCGGCGUAAGCGGCUGGCUAGGGCCACUCUGACGCUGAGGCACGAAAGCGUGGGUAGCGAACAGGAUUAGAUA
RNAcentral lists this ribosomal RNA (279 nucleotides) under uncultured bacterium. RNAcentral's name for it is "partial 16S ribosomal RNA". It matches the Rfam family "Bacterial small subunit ribosomal RNA", at positions 506 to 784 of the family's 1533-position model. The record is from RNAcentral.